RNAcentral lists this transfer RNA (77 nucleotides) under Desulfuromonadales bacterium C00003068. Its description in RNAcentral is "tRNA-Arg". It matches the Rfam family "tRNA". Rfam says of the family: Transfer RNA (tRNA) molecules are approximately 80 nucleotides in length. The record is from RNAcentral. Lineage: Bacteria; Pseudomonadati; Thermodesulfobacteriota; Desulfuromonadia; Desulfuromonadales. RNAcentral also lists the same sequence under 1 other name.
GCGCCAGUAGCUCAGAUGGAUAGAGCAUCUGACUUCGAAUCAGAGGGCCGGGAGUUCGAGUCUCUCCUGGCGCACCA